GACGAACCGUGCGAACGUUAUUCGGAAUCACUGGGCUUAAAGCGCGUGUAGGCGGGACGGCACGUCGGUCGCUGAAAGCCCCCGGCUCAACCGGGGAACGGGCGCCGAUACGACCGCCCUGGAGGGACGUAGGGGGACCUGGAACUUCCGGUGGAGCGGUGAAAUGCGUUGAGAUCGGAAGGAACGCCCGUGGCGAAAGCGAGGUCCUGGACGUCUGCUGACGCUGAGACGCGAAAGCCAGGGGAGCGAACGGA
RNAcentral lists this ribosomal RNA (254 nucleotides) under uncultured bacterium. RNAcentral's name for it is "partial 16S ribosomal RNA". It matches the Rfam family "Bacterial small subunit ribosomal RNA", at positions 524 to 776 of the family's 1533-position model. The record is from RNAcentral.